Molecule: ribosomal RNA, 304 nt
Filed under: uncultured bacterium
Lineage: Bacteria
Description: partial 16S ribosomal RNA
Rfam family: Bacterial small subunit ribosomal RNA
Source: RNAcentral
CAGCAGUCGCCACGGUAAUACGAAGGGGGCUAGCGUUGCUCGGAAUGACUGGGCGUAAAGGGCGCGUAGGCGGAUUGUUUAGUUAGGCGUGAAAUUCCUGGGCUUAACCUGGGGACUGCGCUUAAUACAGGCAGUCUAGAGUGAGGAAGAGGGUUGUGGAAUUCCCAGUGUAGAGGUGAAAUUCGUAGAUAUUGGGAAGAACACCGGUGGCGAAGGCGGCGACCUGGUCCUUGACUGACGCUGAGGCGCGAAAGCGUGGGGAGCAAACAGGAUUAGAUACCCCUGUAGUCCCUGUCUCUUAUAA